RNAcentral lists this long non-coding RNA (1643 nucleotides) under Homo sapiens (human). RNAcentral's name for it is "HSALNT0406077". Lineage: Eukaryota; Metazoa; Chordata; Mammalia; Primates; Hominidae. The record is from RNAcentral.
CUCACUCUGUCGCCAGGCUGGAGUGCAGUGGCGCGAUUAUAUUCACCUAGAAGUUUGUGAACACUGUUCCUCUUUCAGUAAAAUCCAUGUUAUAGAUGCUGCUGGAUUUUAGGCAUCCAGAAAGGCCUGAGAUUGGCAGCUAUUUGUUGACAAUUCAAUGGGUAUAAAAGUUUCAGGCAGCAAAACUAAUGAAUGAUUUCCAACCACAGAAGCCGUCACUGGGAGAGCCAAUAAAGAUACGACAGAUCUGGCAGGAGAACAAGAUCCAGCCCAGGUGAUGGGGUGUGAGGCUUGGUCUUAGCUACAGGGAAUGGAGAUUUUUCUGGUCUGCUGGGGCUUUUCCUAAUUCUGCACGGUCGGCUUGAGACUGUCCACCUGUUGCUCCAUCUAGGCUGCGUUGCCCUUAUGAGCCGUCUUCACAAGGAGACGCUGGUCUGAAAAGAAGGCAACGCAAGGAAGAGAACAGAGCCAAGGCACCUGCAGCGAGCCAGAGCCAGAGCCCUGACAUCACAAAUGCUUUAAUUGGUUCCAUUUAUUGUUUAAUCCACUUGAAAUUGAAUUUCUGUCAUCCCCGACUGGAAGUGUACUGACCUGCAUACUACCUGUGUUUCCUCACAGCAGGCUGAAAAGCUGUGCCAAUAUUGAGCUCAUCCAGAAUUAGACGAAGUUUGUAUUCUUUUUAUUACUUCCUUUAACCCUGAAUCAGGGUCCAGAAGCAUUUUGUUGACCAUUAACUCUUCUCUGUGAAUAAAGCAGCAUGAGGAACAACCUCUUUUAUUCACAGAGCAAAGCUCUUCGCUGCUCAGCCACAGCGGCUUCAACUCUGGCACGGGUCCUGAAGUGCCAUUUCUAGCACAUGACUCACAAAGUAAAUAAUCUGUAAAUGAAAAGCCUCUUAUCAUACUUUGGCACGAAAAACAAAGCGACAAGCCAGGCAGCAUUUUUCCCUCAUAUUUGAACCCCACAUGCACCAAGGGCUGUUUUAUGCCUUGCACAUGAGGAGUUUGGUUUGCUCAAAAGCAAAGUAUUGGCUAACAUGUGUGUGCACUAGUAAUUGCAUUUCUGCUUUGUGUGCUCUGUUAUCUGAUAGAGGAGCUUUGUCAAUAUCCUUUGGAUCUCUCUCCAAGCACAGUCUUCAUUAUGAUCUGUGAGCUGAUUUACGGUCUUCUUGGCAAUUUUACGACUGAUAUCUAGGUGCAUUUGCUAAGAGGACAGCAAUUUAGAAUGAUGUUUCUGUAGCUUUAGUCUCCUCCGCACCUUUAAUAAGAAGAAUAAUCAAUUUUACAUUAGAAAGUUAUUUUGUGCUUAUUCUGGAAAAAUGGAAUUGGUUGCUUUUUCUAAAGAUAAUGAGAAACACUUUUUAUGGCUCCAGACUACUAUAUAUCAGCAUUUUCAUUUUAACAGUAAUAUAUCGAGGACUAGGGGCAAAUGGAUUGCUUGUCCAAUAAAUGAAAUGUUCAAGUAUUCCUCACUGAACUUAGACUCACAAUUUUCAUUUAUGGUUGCAUGUGUAAAAUCACCACUCAAGAACUUGUUUGUCCUUGAAUAUAUAGUUUUGUAUUUCCAUAGUUAUAUUGCAGAACCAUUUACUCAUUAUGUUUACAGUGCCCUUCUGAGGAUUUAUGCUGCCAUUUUCAUCAUUA